This 442-nucleotide long non-coding RNA is filed under the name Theobroma cacao (cacao). RNAcentral describes it as "long non-coding RNA (TCAC_LNC000682)". The record is from RNAcentral. Lineage: Eukaryota; Viridiplantae; Streptophyta; Magnoliopsida; Malvales; Malvaceae.
GUCUCGAAAAAGAAAGAUACAAAAGCUGAUAGAUACUUAAUUCCUAGCAAACCCUUACGUGAAUAAGGAAAAAGCAAACAAACUAGGACGUCUAAAACUGAUGGUUUCUUGAUUCCUAGAGGUUGGUCAGGUCGAUCAAGCUGAUCAUGGCCUUACUUCAAUUCUGAAGAAGUUCUCACCAUCUUCUUGGGAAAGAGUGAUCAUAGAGUUGAUUCUGGUAGCAGCAAAAUCCGUCCACUGAUUCCCGGAGAUAGUAUAGUUGCCUCCUUGACCCUUGCACUGAAAAUCCCACCAUCCUCCUAAACCGUCCGUAACCCUCAAAACCGUUGUACCACCCGGGAGUGCGUGGCCAUGAUACUGAAACCUUAACUUUCUUGUAUGAUUUGUUGCAAGAUUGAUUUCGAAGAUGAGGGCCAUUUCUGCUCAGAAGAUUGUAAUUUGA